Molecule: ribosomal RNA, 301 nt
Filed under: uncultured bacterium
Lineage: Bacteria
Description: partial 16S ribosomal RNA
Rfam family: Bacterial small subunit ribosomal RNA
Source: RNAcentral
CAGUAGCCACGGGAAUACGAAGGGUGCAAGCGUUAAUCGGAAUUACUGGGCGUAAAGCGCGCGUAGGUGGUUCAUUAAGUUGGAUGUGAAAUCCCUGAGCUUAACUUAGGAAUUGCAUUCGAUACUGGGAAGCUAGAGUAUGGGAGAGGAUGGUAGAAUUCCAGGUGUAGCGGUGAAAUGCGUAGAGAUCUGGAGGAAUACCGAUGGCGAAGGCAGCCAUCUGGCCUAAUACUGACGCUGAGGUACGAAAGCAUGGGGAGCAAACAGGAUUAGAUACCCGCGUAGUCCCUGUCUCUUAUAC